Molecule: transfer RNA, 4363 nt
Filed under: Sus scrofa (pig)
Lineage: Eukaryota; Metazoa; Chordata; Mammalia; Artiodactyla; Suidae
Description: lncRNA (ENSSSCG00025029272.1)
Rfam family: tRNA (bases 3905-3976)
Source: RNAcentral
UUUUUUUUUUUUUUUUUUUUUUUUUUGUCUUUUUGUCUUUUUGCAAUUUCUUGGGCCGCUCCCGCAGCAUAUGGAGAUUCCCAGGCUAGGGGUCGAAUCAGAGCCGUAGCCACCGGCCUACUCCAGAGCCACAGAAACACAGGAUCCGAGCCGUAUCUGCAACCUACACCACAGCUCAUAGCAAUGCUGGAUCCUUCGUUAACCACUGAGCCACGACAAGAACUCCUGUCUCUGCAUUCAUCAGUGUACAGGGGCAGCUGAGAUUUUGGCCACAGGAGCAGCCCCAACUUUGCAGCAGGAAAGACCCAGUGAGGGUCUGGCUCUGGGUGGACAGUUUACACAGAGGGUGACCAACCAUCCUAGCCUGCCUGGGAUGGAGGGGGCUCCUGGGAUGCCAGACUUCCAUGCUACAACUGGGUCAGCCCUGGGCAAACUGGAAAGAAUUGGUCAUCCUAGAGUGGGGACCAGUCCCUCCCAGGCCACAAGGUCAGGGGGGUUGGUCAUUUGUUCAAUUCUGAAUGGGGUGCUGUUGGCCCCACCUGCGGCACUGGGGUAGGGGGACUGACUAGGGGUGGGGGUGGGGGUCCAGGGCAAGCAAAUGCAGAGCCCCAUGCUCUUAGAAGUCUCCUUUCCUCCCUGGCCCCCAUGGAGCCACAAGCUCUUUCUCAGAAGAGUUGGGCUCAGCCCGGGGAAACGAUAAUUCUGCCCCAGACGCAGACCGAGUUCCUCAUGCCCUACCCCCACCACCUACAAACUUGGAAAACCAUCAAGGAGCAGCGGCCUGGAGGAGACAACUCACAAGACUAGGGGCAGUCACUUCUCUGGAGCCUCAGUUUCUCUCCUCUUAACACAAAUGCUUAACAUUUUCCCAGCCUCUGCCAUGCACCAGAUGUGGUACCUCUAUCAGCUCAUAUGCUCAGGGCAGUCUUGGGGGUGAGGAAGCAAGGCUGUACGGUGUCCAAGGUCACACAGAGUAAGUGACAGAGCCAGGUUUAGGCAGCCAGAAAAAAGCCCUCCAUCUCUACCCCUGGCCUGUGAUGGUGCCGGCUGCAAAUCUGAGGGCUGAUGAAUCUUCUCUAUAGCAGCAAGUGCUCUAUGUAAGGGGAAGGAAGUAAAUUAGCAGCAGGUAAGCUACUUCAAGGUAAGACUUGCACUGCAAGAGCUGCCUUGUAGAGGAGCAAACAUUGCUAAGGGGAUACAGGUUCAUGGCAUCUGUGUGAAGCACACAGUAAAAGCACAGCUCAUGGUCCCCUAAACACCUGUAAGAGGAAAGCAUUCAAAAUGAGCAGGUUUCCACUGCUACAAGCAGAACCCACAAUGCCUACAGAGGUCGAAGCAAUAUUUCAUGUAAGAGAAAUAUUGGGAAGAAACAUACAAGUCCCAUACCAUGGAAAUCUGUUCCUUGAUGGAAUAAGAUGCAGGAUUAAAAGUCAUAUUUAUGUUGAAUGCUUAUAAAGCACUCCCACCUUAUUGGGUGGAAAACCGGGGUAUAAAAAUGUAUAAAAACAAGGUCCUACUGUCUAACACAGAAAGCUAUACUGUCCUAUAAUAUUUAUUAACUUAUUUAUUUUUGUCUUUUUGCCUUUUCUAGGGCCACUCCCACGGCAUAUGGAAGUUCCCAGGUUAGGGGUCGAAUCGGAGCUGUAGCUGCAGGCCUACGCCAGAGCGAUAGCAACAUGGGAUCUGAGCCGCGUCUGCGACCUACACCAAAGCUCACGGCAACGCUGGAUCCCUAAACCACUGAGCAAGGCCAGCAGCUGUCGCUCCAAUUGGAACCCUAGUCUGGGAAUCUCUAUAUGGAAGGCAGCCCUAAAGAGAGAGAAAAAAAAUAGUUCUCUUGUGGAGCAAGUUAAGGUCUCUGGAGCAGUCUUUACUGGUCAUCCCUUGGUUAACCCCCUCCUCACUCUUCAUACCCAAUUUGCGUGCACCCUCCUCAGGAAAAGCCUGUCCUGACCACCCUGCCCCAACCUAGCAUCCAGAACGCUGUGCCCUUCCCCAGUGUGCAUGGCAGUACCUGAUAAAUGUCUAUUUCCCUGGAAGCUCCAGGAGAAAACUUUGUCUGUUUUGUUCACUGUGGCACCUCCUGGGCCAAGCACUGUGCCUGGCACAUAGGAAUAAAAACUGCUAAUAUUUAUCAGGUGCUCCUUUAUGCCAGCCAACUUGCUAGGCUCCUGAUAUACAUCAAUUUGUUUCAUCAUCACAAUUGCCUUGUGAGGGAGGUACUAUUAGUAUUCCCCUUUUAUAGAUGAUAAAACCAAAGCCCAGCAAGAUUUAAGUAACUUGCCUAAGGUCACCCAGCUAGUAAGUGGCAGAGCCAGGGUUUGAACCCAGGGUGGCUGAUUACAGAGCCUACAUGCAAUCACGAUAAAUGUUUGUUGACUAAGCGUAUGAGUUACCCCAGCUUCUCCCAGCUGGCUUUGCCAGCUAUGAUUGGUCUAAGGGGAUGCAAUGCUUCCUGCUGCUAACACAAUGCAAGUGGCUGGCAUGCGCAGCAGGAAUUACAACCAGCAAAGCCAGUGGGCAUUAAUUUCUCCUUUCUCUCUCUGAGUCCAGUGGAGCUCUUGCCUGGGAACCAAGGCCUUUUGGGAAAAAUGUGGUCCUGGAACUUAACUUAAGCCUGUUACUGCUGGAAGAGCCCCAUCCGAAAGUGAAAGGCGUGGCUCCUUGUGCCUCCACUUGGGUAACUAAGGAUUUAAUAUCCAAACACUGUGCAACUUCCUCAUCCAUGGACUUUCCUAAAUGAUCGUCUGUGUGCUAAAUGCGGUCAUGCUUCCGUCAGCUCAUGGAUGAGAGUGAUUGCAGCUGCCACGGGCUGGAGUUGACAGCAGGACGGCAGGCCCCCCAUCCCCGUGGCCUUAGCACUGCUUGUAUGGCUUGGCUGGUGCAGCCAAAGGCCAUUUGGUGCCUAUAAGGAGCAUUUGGCUCCUUAGUUGCUUUUGGGUGGGGGGUUGGGGUGGGGAACAGUUCUUAUGCAACUUAAUACCAUGGAGACAAAGAGAGGAAGCAUUAGGUACCCAAAGCCAGCAGAGCUUAGCUUCAGCCUGUAUUUACUGACAUAAGGUGGUCAGUUACUGAGAAAAAUAAGAAAGAAAAAAAGAAAAGAAAAGAAAUGCUUGUGGAAUUCUGGAAAUAUGUGGAUGGGCAAGGAUUGUACCCAACAGGAUAGGGGUAGCUGAAAUCUGAUCGUCAUCUUUGUAAUCUGCUGGGGACUCACUCACUGCAGUCCCUCCCCCACAAGAGGUCCACUUCCUUUAUGACCCUAUGCCCAUUUCCCUGAAAAUGGGAAAAACCAUAGGAAAAUGGGCCAUUUUCCCCAAGUGGCCAUUCUGCCUCCUAAGAAGUGGGGGCUCAGGAAAGGGCCCAGGUGGAUCUCAGCCCAAGUUGGAAAGACCACAAAGCCUGUGGCUUCUCUAGCAGGAGGUCAGCUGCUGGUGCAGCAUUUUUCAAACUGACCCACCACAGGACGCUUUAUUCAAGUGAAAGCAAAGUUCUCAUAAAAUAGAGAACAGAGACAUUCUGAUGAAAAAAACCCAGCUCUGGAGAGAAGGGGGAACCACAUCCAAAUGCCUGGCCUCCCCACCCCCUCCCUCCACACCCUCUCUGAUACAAGGAAGGGCUCACUGGCUGCCAUUCACUAAUAUGAAUAUCUGAAGAGGAAACUGGCCACUCUGGAACUGACCAUGGCCAGGACACCAUGUUCUGUCCAACUCUAGCCUCCACUCUGGGCAGCCCCAGGAGCUGGCUUCUGGGAUGGGAGUCUGCAGAGUGAGUCAGGCCCCAGAGGGAACAAGGGCUCUCCAAGGCUCACUGGGUCAGCUUAGGCCGUUCAGUGGCUGGCACAGGAGCUGGUCCCAGACCUGGAAGGCCGGAUAGCAAUCUAAUCUAGAAAGGUGCUCCAGGGAGUUCCCUGGUGGUCUAGUGGUUAGGAUUUGAUGCUUUCACCACCACAGCCCAGGUUCAAUCCCUGGUCUGGGAACUGAGAUCCCAGACUAAGCCACUGUACACCGAGACUCCCCCCACCCCCCAAAAAAAGAUGAGAGAAAGGUCCUCCAGGCUCGGUGGUUUUCCUUAGGAGUGUAGCAGCUGAAGAAAUCAAUGCGUUUAAGCCACCCCAAGCACUGGGCCUGGAUUUGGCCCUAAAGGUACAGAGAUGCACUCUGGGCCUCAGAUCUCAAAGGACUCUGAUUAGGUAGGGAGAGCCAGAGCUGCAUGAUGGAGUAUUGGUUGCAAACAACACAAACCAGUUUAGUAUUCCUGGGGUACUUCAUGGAAUUUAAAGUCAGAAAUGCAGCUGAACCUCAGGAAUGGACUUAGGGAACAGAAGGGACCCAGAGCCCCUUCUCCAUCACUGCCCACCUGCCCU